GGUUUGAUUCUGGCUCAGAUUGAACGCUGGCGGGAUGCUUUACACAUGCAAUUCGAACGGCAGCACGGACUUCGGUCUGGUGGCGAGUGGCGAACGGGUGAGUAAUGUAUCGGAACGUGCCUAGUAGCGGGGAUAAUUACGCGAAAGCGUAGCUAAUACCGCAUACGCCCUUCGGGGGAAAGCGGGGACCUUCGCCUCGCACUAUUAGAGCGGCCGAUAUCGGAUUAGCCAGUUGGUGGGGUAACGGCUCACCAAGGCGACGAUCCGUAGCUGGUUUGAGAGGACGACCAGCCACAUCGGGACUGAGACACGGCCCAGACUCCUACGGGAGGUGCAGUGGGGAAUUUUGACAAUGGGGGAAACCCUGAUCCAGCCAUCCUGCGUGUGCGAUGAAGGCCUUCGGGUUAAAGCACUUUUGGCAGGAAAGAAACGGCACGGGAUAAUACCCCGUGCAACUGACGGUACCUGCAGAAUAAGCACCGCUAACUACGUGCCAGCAGCCGCGCAAUAAUGUAGGGUGCAAGCGUUAAUCGGAAUUACUGGGCGUAAAGCGUGCGCAGGCGGUUCGGAAAGAAAGAUGUGAAAUCCCAGAGCUUAACUUUUGGAACUGCAUUUUUAACUACCGAGCUAGAUAAGUCAGGAGGAGGUGGAAUUCCGCGUGUAGCAGUGAAAUGCGUAGAUAUGCGGAGAACACCGAUGGCGAAGGCAGCCUCCUGGGAUAACACUGACGCUCAUGCACGAAAGCGUGGGGGCAAACAGGAUUAGAUACCCUGGUAGUCCACGCCCUAAACGAUGUCAACUAGCUGUUAGCCUUUCGGGCCUUGGUAGCGCAGCUAACGCGUGAAGUUGACCGCCUGGGGAGUACGGUCGCAAGAUUAAAACUCAAAGGAAUUGAUUUGGGACCCGCACAAGCGGUGGAUGAUGUGGAUUAAUUCGAUGCAACGCGAAAAACCUUACCUACCCUUGACAUGUCUGGAAUCCCGAAGAGAUUUGGGAGCGCUCGCAAGAGAACGCACCACACAGGUGUUGCAUGGCUGUCGUCAGCUCGUGUCGUGAGAUGUUGGGUUAAGUCCCGCAACGAGCGCAACCCCGUCAUUAGUUGCUACGAAAGGGCACUCUAAUGAGACUGCCGGUGACAAACCGGAGGAAGGUGGGGAUGAUGCCUGUCCUCAUGGUCUUAUGGGUAGGGCUUCACACGUCAUACAAUGGUCGGGACAGAGGGUCGCCAACCCGCGAGGGGGAGCUAAUCCUAGAAACCUGAUCGUAGUCCGGAUCGCAGUCUGCAACUCGACUGCGUGAAGUCGGAAUCGCUAGUAAUCGCGGAUCAGCAUGUCGCGGUGAAUAUGCUCCUGCAUCUUGUACACACCGCCGUCACACCAUGGGAGUGGGUUUUACCAGAAGUAGUUAGCCUAACCGUAAGGAGGGCGAUUACCACGGUAGGAUUCAUGACUGGGGUGAAGUCGUAACAAGGUAA
RNAcentral lists this ribosomal RNA (1474 nucleotides) under uncultured Bordetella sp. Its description in RNAcentral is "partial 16S-23S ribosomal RNA intergenic spacer". It matches the Rfam family "Bacterial small subunit ribosomal RNA". Lineage: Bacteria; Pseudomonadati; Pseudomonadota; Betaproteobacteria; Burkholderiales; Alcaligenaceae. The record is from RNAcentral.